This 372-nucleotide ribosomal RNA is filed under the name uncultured organism. Its description in RNAcentral is "bacterial SSU rRNA". It matches the Rfam family "Bacterial small subunit ribosomal RNA", at positions 526 to 896 of the family's 1533-position model. The record is from RNAcentral.
CGUAGGGUGCAAGCGUUGUUCGGAAUCAUUGGGCGUAAAGCGCGUGCAGGCGGUUAGUUAAGUUGAGUGUGAAAUCCCUGGGCUUAACCGAGGAAGUGCAUUCAAAACUAAUUAGCUAGAAGACAGUAGAGGAAGGUGGAAUUCCAAGUGUAGAGGUGAAAUUCGUAGAUAUUUGGAGGAAUACCGGUGGCGAAGGCGGCCUUCUGGGCUGUUCUUGACGCUGAGACGCGAAAGCGUGGGUAGCAAACAGGAUUAGAUACCCUGGUAGUCCACGCCGUAAACGAUGGGUACUAGGUGUUGCAGGAAUUGACCCCUGCAGUGCCGACGCUAACGCAUUAAGUACCCCGCCUGGGAAGUACGGCCGCAAGGUUA